GAUGAAGAACGUAGCGAAAUGCGAUAAGUAAUGUGAAUUGCAGAAUUCAGUGAAUCAUCGAAUCUUUGAACGCGCAUUGCGCCCGGUAGUAUUCUGCCGGGCAUGCCUGUUCGAGCGUCAUUUCAACCAUCAAGCCCCAGCGCUUGUGUUGGGGGCCUGCGGCUGCCGCAGCCCCCUAAAAGCAGUGGCGGGCUCGCUAUCACACCGAGUGCAGUAGUUCAUCUUCUCUCCGGUCUUGUGAGGCGGGUUCCGGCCGUGAAACACCCCACUACAUUCAAGGUUGACCUCGGAUCAGGUAGGAAUACCCGCUGAACUUAAGCAUAUCAAUAAGCGGAGGA
This 338-nucleotide unclassified non-coding RNA is filed under the name soil metagenome. Its description in RNAcentral is "partial contains 5.8S ribosomal RNA, internal transcribed spacer 2, and large subunit ribosomal RNA". The stretch from base 1 to 120 matches the Rfam family "5.8S ribosomal RNA", at positions 35 to 154 of the family's 154-position model. The record is from RNAcentral.